This 773-nucleotide ribosomal RNA is filed under the name uncultured bacterium. RNAcentral describes it as "bacterial SSU rRNA". It matches the Rfam family "Bacterial small subunit ribosomal RNA", at positions 8 to 796 of the family's 1533-position model. The record is from RNAcentral.
AGAGUUUGAUCCUGGCUCAGGACGAACGCUGGCGGCGUGCUUAACACAUGCAAGUCGAACGAGGCUCCACCUUCGGGUGGUGUUCUAGUGGCGAACGGGUGAGUAACACGUGGGCAACCUGCCCUCAGCUCUGGGAUAACUCCGGGAAACCGGGGCUAAUACCGGAUAUGACCCUUCUUGGCAUCUCGAGGGGUGGAAAGUUUUUCGGCUGAGGAUGGGCCCGCGGCCUAUCAGCUUGUUGGUGGGGUGAUGGCCUACCAAGGCGACGACGGGUAGCCGGCCUGAGAGGGUGACCGGCCACACUGGGACUGAGACACGGCCCAGACUCCUACGGGAGGCAGCAGUGGGGAAUAUUGCGCAAUGGGCGAAAGCCUGACGCAGCGACGCCGCGUGAGGGACGAAGGCCUUCGGGUUGUAAACCUCUUUCAGCAGGGACGAAGCGAAAGUGACGGUACCUGCAGAAGAAGCACCGGCCAACUACGUGCCAGCAGCCGCGGUAAUACGUAGGGUGCAAGCGUUGUCCGGAAUUAUUGGGCGUAAAGAGCUCGUAGGCGGUCUGUUGCGUCGGCUGUGAAAACCCGAGGCUCAACCUCGGGCCUGCAGCCGAUACGGGCAGACUAGAGUUCGGCAGGGGAGACUGGAAUUCCUGGUGUAGCGGUGAAAUGCGCAGAUAUCAGGAGGAACACCGGUGGCGAAGGCGGGUCUCUGGGCCGAUACUGACGCUGAGGAGCGAAAGCGUGGGGAGCGAACAGGAUUAGAUACCCUAGUAGUCC